RNAcentral lists this long non-coding RNA (1195 nucleotides) under Sparus aurata (gilthead seabream). Its description in RNAcentral is "lncRNA (ENSSAUG00010026305.1)". Lineage: Eukaryota; Metazoa; Chordata; Actinopteri; Spariformes; Sparidae. The record is from RNAcentral.
UGGAGUUCUCCAUGAGGCAGCGGCUUCUCUCUCUCUCUCUCCUCUGUGAGAGACAGAGCGGAGCCGCAGUGGACCGGACAUGUACGAAAUUCGUACGGUAGAUAACCGUUUUUUCACAUCCCAAUGCACAACAGGAAUUUAUUCAUUCAUUAAAAAAACACACAAAAAGGGCCAUAUACUGUAUGUGUGCACGUGUCUGAUUGUCACUGCUGAUUUUUUUUCCCUUCUGUGUAUUCAUGGAGUCAAUGAGUUAUGUAAUAAUGUGGUCUCAGUUUAAAGGAGCAAUUUUAGUCUCCUUCCAAACUCUACAAUCCCAAAAAUAGCACCUUUCAAUGUUAGAAACGGAAGUCAAUUUUUAGACAUCUUUGCCCUCCAUAAGCGGAUGUUUCUCUUGAAUGAACCUUUAACAUAGUUUAACAAAUUUGGCAAAUAAUGCCACAUUAAAAUGUGAAUUAACAUCUGUGGUUGACAGGACCUCAGAGGGGAAGUGGUGAAGCUUUGUGCUUUUCUGGGAAAGGACUUGACAGAUGAAGCCAUUGAUCGUGUUGUGGAGAUGUCCACCUUCAAAAACAUGAAGACCGACCCUAAAGCAAACUACAAGGACUUAGUUGAAGUCCACCGCUACAAGACAGAAACCAUGCGCAAAGGUAACGCAGGUGACUGGAAGAACUUGUUCACAGUUGCCCAGAAUGAACAUUUUGACAAAGUGUUCAAGGACCGGAUGAGCGACCUGCCUCUCAGCUUCAUCUGGGAGAUCAAAGAGUCACUGCCUCUUAGAGAGCCGACCUCAACAUGAGCUCAGAGUCACAGAGAUAGUGAUUCAAAAACAGCCUCCUCUUCUGUUUAAUCUUGUUUCGUUGUUCUCAACACCUGAAUUCUCUGCGAAUGCCUCCUCCGACCCUUCUGUGUACGCAACCUUCAACUUCAGGCUGAUCCAACUGUGAAUCACAUUUUGAUCGGAUAAAUCAAUGUGACUCUUGGCACAAAAUAACUCCUCCCACUUUGCAACUCUAUAAUAUGGAAGUGAACGGGGAUAAAUAUAAAAAUAAAUUAAUGUAAAAAUGUGCUCCUUUGGUUGUGAUGCAGUGUGCAAUCUGCAAAAUAACUGGUAAAUAAUUAUAAAGUGGAAGUAUACCGUAAAGUAGUAGGAAAUUGAAAUGCUGAUAUAAGUUGAGUAAAACUGUAAUUGUAAAAU